Non-coding RNA from Chlorocebus sabaeus (green monkey), 1547 nucleotides. The record is from RefSeq and is a predicted model, not a curated record. Lineage: Eukaryota; Metazoa; Chordata; Mammalia; Primates; Cercopithecidae.
GGCCUCUAAAGAAACCAACUUUUCAGAUCCUUUAUGACUCACAAGAUUGAAUUUUCUACUCAUAUGUCAAGACACUGAACACAUUUGUCUUAAAACCUCAGGAAGAGAAAACAAGUUUAUUAUUGAUUUGUUCAAGGAGGUGGUAGUGCAGAUUCAAGCCCGUUACGUGUGUAGUGGGGGUGCCAGUGUGGUCUGCAGCUGAGUGCCCUGCUGGAGCUAAAACAUGACCAGGCAUGUCUGGAGGACAAGUGAGACUGGUUCACCAGAAAUCUAUUUAUAUUAGGAAUGAAGCACCUUCUAGGACAUAAAUCAUCCUAGAGGGAAAAGGAAUCAGAUAUGUGGGGUUGGUUCAAUGGCAAAGACUAAGUCACCUGACAGAGCUGCGGUUCUCUUCUUCUUCUGCCCUUGGACACCAGAACUCCAGGAUCUCUAGCCUUCAGCCUGGAACUAAGAGUUACACCAGCAGCCCCCUAGGCUCUCAGACCUUCAGACUCAGAGUCUGGAGAAAAUACUUCUUUCUGAAUGUGGCAAUUAAAUGUGUGAUUCCAAGAAUGGGAGAUCAAAAGAAUCCAUACUAGUUUUAGCUGGAAAUCUGAUGCCUCGGGUAGGGAGUUUAGUUUCAUGGUUGCCGCUGACGGAGAAAUCUGUUAAUACCUCAGUGUGAUACUUCUGGAGAUGCGCUGGCUAAUGAAGUAAUAACAGGAACACUUAAGCAGAACGUGCAUUCAUAGCAUAAAGAAACAUUCAAAUCUAAAAGAAUUCUUCCAAAGAAAAAAUAUUUAAAUAAAAAACCAGCAGAAGUAGAUGUUCACCAUUUCACUUGUAAACAUUAGUGCUUUAUUGGUUACCUCUAAUGUAACAACACAUACAAAUGCUGAAUCUUAAACAAAAGAAUGUAUAAAAGAUUUUUGCUUGGAAACUUUGGGAGAUUUUGCAGCAGAGAAGGUAGCUUAAGUACCUUACAAUGAUAUCACAGCUUGAUGUAUUCUGGAACUGGUGAAAGAUACAGAAAACCAAGUCAGAAUAAAGAAAGCUAGCAAAGUAUUUUUCAUCACAAUGUGAUACAUGCAUAGAUACUGCUAACAUGACAAUUCUUUCAUAGGUGUGUGAUUUAAAUAUGAUGGUGAUUAUUCUGUCAACAAAUGUGGUCCAGAGUUUGAGUUUAGUAUGGGAAUAAAUUCUGACGGUAUAGUUGUAAUGGCAGGAAAAUAAUCCGGAGUAGUUACCCAAAUCAAGGAGCUUGUCCCAACAUGUAGAUUAACUCACUGUUUCCAACACUGAUAAAGUCUUGCCUUUUGGAAAAAAAGGGGAUAAAAAGUAAGCUAAACUGAAUAGCAAGAUAAAUAGUAAAAAUUAUGAAUUAUAUAAAGGCAAAUGCUAUAAAUUUAGGGAUAUUUCCUUUUUAGAUGAUAAUAAAGAAACUGGUUGUAAAUAAAAACUAGGCAUGCUGACAUAGAUGUUAUCAAGAGGAAAAACUCUAUCAAGAACAAACUCUUCAUAUUUCUGCAAUAUGCUUUUUUUUUUUUCUUUUCUUUUCUGAGACAGGG